RNAcentral lists this long non-coding RNA (740 nucleotides) under Marmota monax (woodchuck). Lineage: Eukaryota; Metazoa; Chordata; Mammalia; Rodentia; Sciuridae. The record is from RNAcentral.
CACCACAUCAUAGCAGGAGUACGUGUAUGAGGAAGACCUUACAUCAAAAAGCACAAAAGCAGCAGUGCAUGGUGGUGCAUGCCUGUAAUCCCAGCAGCUUGGGAGGCUGAGGCAGAAGGAUCACAAGGUGGAGGCUAGCCUCAACAAUUUAGCAAGACCCUAUCUCAAGAUAAAAGAAAAAUAAAAAGAUCUGGGAGUGUAGUUCAAUGGUAGAGCACCCCAGGGUUAAUCCCUAGUUCUCCACAAUAGGAAAUGAAGACAGAGAGAGACCUAUAAUCCCUUCAGAGGUGAUACCUCCAGCAGACCUAAGGACUUCCCACUAAACAUCACCUCCCAGUAGUACCGCCCUAAGGACCAGGCCUCCAACACAUGAACCCUUAACCAUAUCCAAAUCACAGCUGUGAGUCACAAGAAGGUGUCCUCGUAGAGAAAACGCAGCCUGGAGUUACAAUAUUUGGAUUUUCCCCUAGCUCAGUCAUGUGUUGAACUGAGGUCUUAGGCAAAUCACUUAUCUCGAAACUUGGGACUUUGGUUUCUUUCAAGUGAGGACAUUGAAGCAGCUCUCUGAAGUUAAACACAUUAGGAAUCUCAGUGCUAUGGUAUGUAAAGGAUGAUUUCAAGAAAUAGGACUGCUGAGGAAAGACUUCCCAAAAGGGGCCAGUUUGUAAAGUGAUAAAUGGGAUCAUUACAGCGAAGUUAACUAGAAAUAAGGCACAGAGUUGAGAGCAAGGGUCAUGGAG